AGGUGUCACGGGCUUUGACCCUCGUGGUGCCGAAGCUAACGCGUUAAGCACUCCGCCUGGGGAGUACGGCCGCAAGGCUAAAACGCAAAGGAAUUGACGGGGGCCCGCACAAGCGGUGGAGCAUGUUGUUUAAUUCGACGCAACGCGAAGAACCUUACCUGGGCUAGAAAGCACUGGAAGUCGGUCGAAAGGUCGAUGUGUCCUUCGGGAAACCAGUGGUUAGGUGCUGCAUGGCUGUCGUCAGCUCGUGUCGUGAGAUGUUGGGUUAAGUCCCGCAACGAGCGCAACCCCCGUCGCAUGUUGCCAGCAUUAAGUUGAGGACUCAUGNGAGACUGCCGGUGACAAACCGGAGGAAGGUGGGGAUGACGUCAAGUCAUCAUGCCCCUUAUGUCCAGGGCUACACACGUGCUACAUUGGCCGGUACAGAGGGCUGCGAUACCGCGAGGUGGAGCGAAUCCCUUAAAGUGCGUCUCGGUUCGGAUUGAAGGCUGAAACUCGCCUUCAUGAAGGCGGAGUUGCUAGUAAUCGCGGAUCAGCAUUGCCGCGGUGAAUACGUUCCCGGGCCUUGUACACACCGCCCGUCACACCACGGAAGCAAGCAACACCCGAAGCCGGUGGCCUAACCCUUUUGGGAGGGAGCCGUCGAAGGUGGGGCUCGUGACUGGGGUGAAGUCGUAACAAGGUAGCCGUACCGGAAGGUGCGGCUG
This 707-nucleotide ribosomal RNA is filed under the name alkali sediment metagenome. RNAcentral describes it as "bacterial SSU rRNA". It matches the Rfam family "Bacterial small subunit ribosomal RNA", at positions 818 to 1520 of the family's 1533-position model. The record is from RNAcentral.